This 205-nucleotide long non-coding RNA is filed under the name Panax ginseng (ginseng). RNAcentral's name for it is "long non-coding RNA (PGIN_LNC010625)". The record is from RNAcentral. Lineage: Eukaryota; Viridiplantae; Streptophyta; Magnoliopsida; Apiales; Araliaceae.
GAAUCUUAAAUGAGUCGAGUAUAACCUUGUUAAGAUCUGUGUUACUUGGACUCGCCACUUUUGGAUGGAGUACCUGUGUCGACACGACACGACACGGAUACGGGUGCGGGAUUCGUACGGGAUUCGGCCACAUAAAUUCGGAUACGGCUGUUUUGGGAAGAAGAGCUGUGAAGAGGAAGAAGAGCCAUGAAGAAGAAGAAGAAGC